RNAcentral lists this ribosomal RNA (600 nucleotides) under uncultured bacterium. Its description in RNAcentral is "bacterial SSU rRNA". It matches the Rfam family "Bacterial small subunit ribosomal RNA", at positions 878 to 1482 of the family's 1533-position model. The record is from RNAcentral.
GAGUACGGUCGCAAGGCUAAAACUCAAAGGAAUUGACGGGGGCUCACACAAGCGGUGGAGCAUGUGGCUUAAUUCGAAGCAACGCGAAGAACCUUAUCCUGGGCUUGACAUGCAGGGAUUAGCUCCGUGAAAGCGGAGUGACGCCUUCGGGUGGAACCUGCACAGGUGCUGCAUGGCUGUCGUCAGCUCGUGCCGUGAGGUGUUAGGUUAAGUCCUUUAACGAGCGCAACCCCUGUCGCUAGUUGCCAGCGCGUAAUGGCGGGGACUUUAGCGAGACUGCCGGCGUCAAGUCGGAGGAAGGUGGGGAUGACGUCAAGUCCGCACGGCCUUUAUGCCCAGGGCUGCACACGUGCUACAAUGGUCGGUACAAAGCGACGCAAUACCGCGAGGUGGAGCAAAACGCCAAAGCCGGCCCCAGUUCGGAUUGCAGGCUGCAAUUCGCCUGCAUGAAGUUGGAAUCGCUAGUAAUCGCGGAUCGGCUACGCCGCGGUGAAUACGUUCCUGAGCCUUGUACACACCGCCCGUCAAGUCAUGGAAGCUGGCAGCGCCUUAAGUCGCCGCGAUUCAGCGGUGCCCACGGCGAAGCUGGUGACUGGGACU